This is a long non-coding RNA of Toxorhynchites rutilus septentrionalis, 1026 nucleotides long. RefSeq lists it as uncharacterized. The record is from RefSeq and is a predicted model, not a curated record. The transcript is spliced from 3 exons. NCBI's taxonomy places the organism in Eukaryota, Metazoa, Arthropoda, Insecta, Diptera, Culicidae.
UUAAGGAAAAAUCAUGUUCAUUCAUAAUUUUCAUUUUAAAAGUGUAUUCAUUCCUUCUGCAAAUCCAUACUGUCAUGCCUAUUCCCCAAUAUCGCCAACGCGGAUAGUUCGUUAGUCGAAAAUACUGAAUAAUUAAACAAACCAAAUGGCAUCACUGGUGGUUCUUUUUUCCACUCCGCUAAACUGUCAUCUCAAACAAAAACAAAUGGAUCAUACAACUGCUAUGAAUACAUUUGACUCGUUUGCUUCCAUCAAUCGGUAAGUGAGAAAGAUGAUUUCUCCCAUCACCACAGUGCGGAUUUCCACUUCUAUCGCAGCAGCCAACAACAUCCGUUUUCCUGCAGCAGUAACCUCCAACCCCUGUUGGCAAUGCCGGGGGACAGCAUCAACAGCAGCAGCAGCAGAAUUUGACCAUGGUAUGGUAUUGCGAAGAACUUUCCCCAUUAGAGGUUCCGUGCUUCGCGCACAUUCAAAAAUCCUCUUCAGACACGAAAACCCAACGACAAGGAGGUAUUUAUCAACUUGCUCAGCUGAAUUACCAUCCCGGAGGAACCCGAAUGCACUGAUUCCGUAGUAUAGUAGAAUGAAAAUAGGCGAGGUAAGCGAACGUAAUCGCAUGAAAUUUUAAUGUUCGCAUUUUUAUCCGGAUCAUACAACUGCUAUGAAUACAUCCGACUCAAUCAAUCGGCGAGUGAGAAAGAUGAUUUCCCUCAUCACCACAUUGCUUAUUUCCUCUUCUGUCACACCAGCCAACAGCAUCAGCUUUCCCGCAGCAGUAUCCUUUAAGUCCAGGGUGCUAUUCCGGGGAACAGCAUCAACAACAGCAGGACCUGGCCAUAGAUAGUAUUUCGAGCAAUUUUCCCCAUCGGAGAUCCCGUGCUUCACGCACAUUGAAGAAUCCUCCUCAGCCACAUAUCUGUGUCAUCAAGGGCAAGGAGGUAUUCAUCAAUGUAAUCAGUCGGAUUUGAAUCGUCAUUCCAGACAACCCGGAUGCACCGAUUCCAUUAUAUACCUUAUUUUUAUUAC